GUCCCUUCGGGGACAUCUGAUAAAAUUAGAACCAUCAAAGAAGACUAGCAUGACCCCUACACAAAGAUGACAAAGGGUGGUUGAUCGAUCAAUCUCUGGUCCAUUCCAAAUAUUU
Molecule: small nuclear RNA, 115 nt
Filed under: Triticum aestivum (bread wheat)
Lineage: Eukaryota; Viridiplantae; Streptophyta; Magnoliopsida; Poales; Poaceae
Source: RNAcentral